Molecule: unclassified non-coding RNA, 401 nt
Filed under: Hevea brasiliensis (rubber tree)
Lineage: Eukaryota; Viridiplantae; Streptophyta; Magnoliopsida; Malpighiales; Euphorbiaceae
Source: RNAcentral
GAUUCCAAUGCUUCAGUGAUUCUGUAAGUCCUUUGAUUUGCACAUUCAUCAACUAUGAUUUGUUAAAAAAAAUAAAGGAGAAAAGGAAGAUAAACAUAGUGCAAAAGUUGAAAUCUCUCCUAAGCAGGGGAUUCUUAUCUCACAAAAUUGGACAAACUAAUUGAAAUGAUUUUCUGUAGUUCUUUUAUAUUUCUUUCUUUUGCAGCUUAUAUAUUUUCAAUGUGCAUUUUGUUUGGUGUGAGACUUGUGAUAACAAGCAGGUUUGCUAAAUGUUAAUUUCUGGAUGAUAAAAUGGAAGCACCGUGAAGUUAAGGGAAUAAUUUUUGCAUUAUUAAAGAUAAGACAAUAAUAAUAAUAAAAUUCUUUUUUCUUUUAAGGGCUGACAAAGGAGACUCAAUUAA